This is a long non-coding RNA of Homo sapiens (human), 2607 nucleotides long. RefSeq lists it as uncharacterized. The transcript is spliced from 2 exons. NCBI's taxonomy places the organism in Eukaryota, Metazoa, Chordata, Mammalia, Primates, Hominidae. The record is from RefSeq and is a predicted model, not a curated record.
AGCAAGAUUCCGUAUCAGAAACAAACAAACAGAAAAACCAACAACAAAAAAAACCAAAAAACAAAAAUAACACAUGCUUAUCCUUACUAUAAACAGGAAAACCAUCCAAAGAUGUAUACAGAGAAAGUAAUCGCCAUUCCCACCCCAACUCCCAGGUGAUUCUAAACACUGCUGCCAGGAUGAUAUUUCUAAAACAGCUAACUGUUUUUGAGUGGUAUUCACUUCCCUGCUCAAAUUGUUUCAGCUGUCACCACAGCAUAACAUCUGAAAUCCUUAGCAUGGAACAAUACUCACUCAACCCCAUUUAUUGUGGAAUCCUGAACCAUUGGCCAUUCUCUGAAAGAGAUUCUCCCACUCCUAAGUCUUUGUUCCUGCUAAUUUAUUUUGUACUCUGAUCACAUGUUGAAAUCCUACUUAUUCUAUACAUUUUAGUUUAAAUAUUUCCUCUUCCCACUGACACUGUUAGUGAGAAUCAGUGGUUACCUUUUGUCAUUCCUACAAUUUUUGUUAAUAUCCCACUUUGGGCACUUUUCAUGUUUUGCAUUAUAAUUUUUUUGUUCAUGUCUGCCUUCCCCACCAGCCUUCAAUCUUCUUGAGAUUGUGGGCCAUGGACCAUGUCUUAAUUAUGUUUAUGUAAGUAGCACAAUGCCUUAUCCAGAGUAAGCACUGUGAUGAAUAUUUAAUUUAAUUCACUUCUUAACAUCUGGCACUAGGUCAUUUUGAAAUAAUGACUAUCAAUUUUUUUACACUUCCUGUUAAAUGUAGGCUUUCAGUGUUUUUGCAGGAGCAAUUGUGUGUGAAAUAUUACACACACACAUAUACAUGCCUAUGCAAAAUGAACAUGGUAUGAAUAUAGCAGAUAAUCAGCUCAAGAUAGAAUUGCAAAUUAGCUCAAACCAGAUCAUGCAGAAAAUCUGGAUAUAUGGAAUGAAAAGUAUUGCACAAAUGUGUUGCAUAAGUAAUUUAUUGUCUUCUGGCUGCUAAUUUAUAGGUGUAACCUCACAUACUAUCUUUUGAUCGCCAUUAAGGGACUGUUUUGCACCAAUAGACUGAGAGCAAACAUUUUAAUACAACAUAUUCAGUCUAAUUAAGCUGGAUAAUUACUGCUGGAGAAGAGCUAUGGUAGCAACAGCAUGUAAAUAAAUUUUUGCAAGUAUAGAAGGGAAACCUAACAUUUCAUAUUCAUGUAGAUUACCUCUUUUCAAAUACAAGAAGACAAAUGUUAUUCUAGCCCGUUUUGGCAGUAUUCAUCUCCGUAAAUACUAUUACUUUUCUCUGUCCCGUAUGUUCAACCCUUCAACAUUUUUCUGGUUAUGAACCAUUUCACAUAUCGUAUGCUUAUUGGAUCUUUUACACACAUUGAAAAAUUCAGGUAAGCUAAGAUUCUUGCUGUAAACUUUACCCAUGUGUAGACUUCACUUUGUAACCCAGAAGAAAGAGUGGUAAUUGGGUCACCAUUUCCAUGGGAAAAGUAGAAGUACUAACGCCAUACUUUCACCUCUCCCUGGGUAAUAUUUACCCUAAAACCCUGCACAUUAUAUGGUUCAGUGAAGUUAAGCAAUUUGCCCAGAAAUACAUAGGCAGAUCGAGAACUCAGCUCUUCUGACUUCUAUCCUGUGAGUUGUAGUUGUUUACUUAUUGAUUUAUCCAUCAAUUAUUUUUAAGCAUAUAUUAUGUGCAAGGAAAUAUGCUAGUUGGGGAGAGCAAAUUGACUCUACUCUUUCAAUGUGAUAGGGAAAAUAAACCAUUUAUAUAAAUAUUAUUCCCUAAGAAAAUUAAUGUUAUAAGAGUAUGGAAAUUUUAAAAAGUACUUUAUUAUUUCCACAAAUAAGUUACAGAGAAGCAAAAAUUUGAUCAGAUAACUCAUUUAUUAUUUCACCAGAUUAACCACACCAAUGGGAAGUCUAGCUGUUUGGACCACAAAAGCCACAACAUAGCACCACUAUGUACUUAAUGGAAGGUGAACCAACUUGCAAAACAAAUAACAUCCAAAGGUCUAAACUGCAAAUUCAAACUAGAAUAAGUUAUAAUAAAUGUCUCAAAUAUCCAGGGUAACAAAACAUUAUCCUUAUAAAAUGUGGAAAAACUAUUAUUUCUUUCUCUCACCAAAAUAAGGCUUAAUGUUGUUUAAGGUAUCCUUGAUUGCUUUUAUGCCUUGUAUUUAAAAAUGAAGGAGAUGGGCAUUGGACUAAACUUGGGAAGAAGGAUGUUACAUUAAUAAUAAUUUCAUGGCCGGGCACAGUGGCUCAUGCCUGUAAUUCCAGCACUUUGGGAGGCUGAGGCAGGCCGAUCACAAGGUCAGCAGUUCAAGACCAGCCUGGCCAACAUAGUGAAAUCCAGUCUCUACUAAAAAUACAAAAAAUUAGCUGGGCGUGGCGGUGGGCGCCUGUAAUCCCAGCUACUCAGGAGGUUGAAGCAGGAGAAUGGCUUGAACCCGGAAGGCAGAGGUUGCAGUGAGCGGAGAUUGUGCCACUGUGUUCCAGCUUGGGCGACAGUGCGAGACUCUGUCUCAAAAAGUAAAAAUAAUAAUUUCAUAUGCAAGAAAAGUCAUUUUACGAAAAGCUGAAGGUAGACCUUUCCCAUAAAUAAAAUGAUUUUGUAAAACAA